UACGUAGGGUGCGAGCGUUGUCCGGAAUUAUUGGGCGUAAAGAGCUCGUAGGCGGUGUGUCACGUCGGCCGUGAAAACCUGCAGCUUAACUGUGGGCGUGCGGUCGAUACGGGCAUCACUGGAGUUCGGCAGGGGAGACUGGAAUUCCUGGUGUAGCGGUGAAAUGCGCAGAUAUCAGGAGGAACACCAAUGGCGAAGGCAGGUCGCUGGGCCUUAACUGACGCUGAGAAGCGAAAGCAUGGGGAGCAAACAGG
RNAcentral lists this ribosomal RNA (254 nucleotides) under uncultured bacterium. Its description in RNAcentral is "partial 16S ribosomal RNA". It matches the Rfam family "Bacterial small subunit ribosomal RNA", at positions 524 to 776 of the family's 1533-position model. The record is from RNAcentral.